Molecule: ribosomal RNA, 484 nt
Filed under: uncultured bacterium
Lineage: Bacteria
Description: partial 16S ribosomal RNA
Rfam family: Bacterial small subunit ribosomal RNA
Source: RNAcentral
AUUGAACGCUGGCGGCAUGCUUUACACAUGCAAGUCGAACGGUAACAGGGUGCUUGCACCGCUGACGAGUGGCGAACGGGUGAGUAAUGCAUCGGAAUGUACCGUGUAAUGGGGGAUAGCUCGGCGAAAGCCGGAUUAAUACCGCAUACGCCCUGAGGGGGAAAGUGGGGGACCGAAAGGCCUCACGUUAUACGAGCAGCCGAUGUCUGAUUAGCUAGUUGGUGAGGUAAAGGCUCACCAAGGCGUCGAUCAGUAGCGGGUCUGAGAGGAUGAUCCGCCACACUGGGACUGAGACACGGCCCAGACUCCUACGGGAGGCAGCAGUGGGGAAUUUUGGACAAUGGGCGCAAGCCUGAUCCAGCCAUGCCGCGUGUCUGAAGAAGGCCUUCGGGUUGUAAAGGACUUUUGUCCGGGAGCAAAUGCUAGUGGUUAAUAACCGCUGGGUCUGAGAGUACCGGAAGAAUAAGCACCGGCUAACUACGUG